RNAcentral lists this ribosomal RNA (255 nucleotides) under uncultured bacterium. RNAcentral's name for it is "partial 16S ribosomal RNA". It matches the Rfam family "Bacterial small subunit ribosomal RNA", at positions 524 to 776 of the family's 1533-position model. The record is from RNAcentral.
UACGUAGGGUGCAAGCGUUAAUCGGAAUUACUGGGCGUAAAGCGUGCGCAGGCGGUUGUGCAAGACCGAUGUGAAAUCCCCGGGCUUAACCUGGGAAUGGCAUUGGUGACUGCACGGCUAGAGUGUGUCAGAGGGGGGGUAGAAUUCCACGUGUAGCAGUGAAAUGCGUAGAGAUCGGGAGGAACAUCAGUUGCGAAGGCGGCUCCUCUGGACCAGCACUGACACUGAGGCACGAAAGCGUGGGGAGCAAACAGG